UAACGCGUGGAUAACCUGCCAUAUACCGGGGGAUAACACUUAGAAAUAGGUGCUAAUACCGCAUAAGCGCACGGCUCCGCAUGGGGCAGUGUGAAAAACUCCGGUGGUAUACGAUGGAUCCGCGUCUGAUUAGCUAGUUGGCGGGGUAACGGCCCACCAAGGCAGCGAUCAGUAGCCGGCCUGAGAGGGUGGACGGCCACAUUGGGACUGAGACACGGCCCAAACUCCUACGGGAGGCAGCAGUGGGGAAUAUUGCACAAUGGGGGAAACCCUGAUGCAGCGACGCCGCGUGAGUGAAGAAGUAUCUCGGUACGUAAAGCUCUAUCAGCAGGGAAGAAAAUGACGGUACCUGACUAAGAAGCCCCGGCUAACUACGUGCCAGCAGCCGCGGUAAUACGUAGGGGGCAAGCGUUAUCCGGAUUUACUGGGUGUAAAGGGAGCGUAGACGGCAGCACAAGUCUGGAGUGAAAUCCCGGGGCUUAACCCCGGAACUGCUUUGGAAACUGUGCGGCUGGAGUGCAGGAGGGGUAAGCGGAAUUCCUAGUGUAGCGGUGAAAUGCGUAGAUAUUAGGAGGAACACCGGUGGCGAAGGCGGCUUACUGGACUGUAACUGACGUUGAGGCUCGAAGGCGUGGGGAGCAAACAGGAUUAGAUACCCUGGUAGUCCACGCGGUAAACGAUGAUCACUAGGUGU
This 694-nucleotide ribosomal RNA is filed under the name uncultured bacterium. RNAcentral describes it as "bacterial SSU rRNA". It matches the Rfam family "Bacterial small subunit ribosomal RNA", at positions 111 to 823 of the family's 1533-position model. The record is from RNAcentral.